Molecule: non-coding RNA, 1835 nt
Organism: Amborella trichopoda
Lineage: Eukaryota; Viridiplantae; Streptophyta; Magnoliopsida; Amborellales; Amborellaceae
Source: RefSeq, a predicted model, not a curated record
UGCGCGCUGCUCUCGUCUGCUCGUGCACAGAUCCUCUCUCAUGCCUCUCUCUCAUGUGUUCUCUAUCAUCCCCGACCUUCUCUAUCUCUUUGGGGAUAUCACACCUUUGCACUCUCUCUCUAGAGCUCUCACACCCUUGCACUCUCUCCCUUUGUGCAGGGCUCUCACACCUCUACAUUAUCUCUCUAGAGCUCUCACAUCCCUGCACUCUCUCUCUCUGUGCACUAAGGCUCUCAUACCUAUGUACUCUCUCUAGAGCUCUCACACCCUGUGCUCUCUCUCUCGCUGUGCACAAGGGCUCUCAGACCUCUGCACUCUCUCUUUAGAGCUCUCACACCCCUGCACUCUCUCUCUCUGCAAAUCCCUCUACUCCCAAUUUGGGAUGUGAUGGGUUACUGUAGAAGAUUUUUUAGAUCAAUUUUUCUUUUUUGGGGGUAAAUUAUCUGUAAAUGAUAGAUUUUUGGGGCUUUUGUUUAUUUUUUCACUUUUUUUUGUUUCUUAUCAGUUUUGGAUUCUCAGUUCAUCAGAGUGACUUGGAUGACGAAGACGACAAUGUGAAGCAGCUCGACCACUGCGCCAUCCUUUACUUGGCUCUUCAGGAACUGGAAAUCUUGCCAACCAAGUAAAUGUCUUGGCAUCACAAGCUUAAUAGAGGUGGGGCCAUGAAUUUAAAUCCAUUUUAGGGUAUCAUUAUGUUUCUUUUGUUGUGGUUUUUACUAUUUCAUUGGGUUGACUUGGGUUGUUAUUUGGUGUAAGCAAUAAAUGUGGUUUAGCUAUUUUGAUUGGCUUGGCGUCAUUUGCAUGAUUGUUUAGUGGAAUUGUCUCCUCUUUGGAUGUUGCCUUUCUUCAGAUUUUCUAUUUGUAGAUGAAAUCUUAGUUAUUUUUUUCAUUAUUUCCUUAUCGAAUUCAAUGAAGCCAUUUGGUCUUGCUUUUCAUGGUAGAAUUGGUGUAGUUCACAUAAAACAAGAGUAUGCAAAGUGAUUGGUUAAAUUCAUAUCUAAAACAGCUUCCAUUCAACUCUUUCAAGUCAUUUACUUCAUUGGAUAUAUAGAAGUUCUAUUGGGUACUUUUUUUCUUCUUUAUGUUUUCAUGUUGUUAUUUUUCUUAUUAAAUAUUGUUAAUUAUUAGUAUGAUGAAAGUUUUAACUGCUAUUUCAAGGAUAAACAAUCAGGGAGCCAAUUGACUGAGAGCCGAAUGGGCCUCCAUGACCUUUUUGUCUUCUCAAUGGGAAAACAUCCCCUGAAUUUCAUCUCCUAAAAAGCAUCAGCAAAGUUCACAAUCUCGUUAUUGUUAAUCGAUCAUUGUGGAAGAAGACUUGCUUAAUGAGGUGUGGUCUGCUUGAAAGAGUUAGAUUGCUUUGCUACUAUCUGUUGAAGAAUCAACUCUUAGGCUAGAUCCACUAGAAGGUACAUUGAUAAGUGCAGUACUGAAUUUUACCAUCUCCUUGUGAAGCCGAAAAUUUGUUGAAGAAAUUAUUAUGCGGUUCAUUUUUUUCUCCUAUAGUACUUGCCAAAACGGAUGGGGCAUUAGAAAGAUCAGUGCUAUUUAGUAUAUAUGAAAGAUCAUUUGCAUCUCGUUCGUAUACAGGAAAUGCUUGCAUGGAGGUCAUAAAUAUUGAGAUUGAAUACCAUAGUCAAGCUGUCAUGAAAGAUCUUAUCUUUUGAAAACUAUACUUAUAGGUAUGUCCAAUUACUUUUUUCACGCAGAGAUAUUAUCCCACGGAUGUUUACUAUGUAUUUGUUGUAUGAUUAUAGAGACAAAUGUAAGUAUCUGCAAACAUAUGUAUGUUUAUGCACACGUGAUCAGAAGCUUCUGGAGAUAAUAUAUGUGUGAUG